This 254-nucleotide ribosomal RNA is filed under the name uncultured bacterium. RNAcentral describes it as "partial 16S ribosomal RNA". It matches the Rfam family "Bacterial small subunit ribosomal RNA", at positions 99 to 353 of the family's 1533-position model. The record is from RNAcentral.
CGGACGGGUGAGUAAUGUCUGGGAAACUGCCUGAUGAGGGGGGAUAACUAACUGGAAACGGUAGCUAAUACCGCAUAAUGUCGCAAGACCAAAGAGGGGGACCUUCGGGCCUCUUGCCAUCGGAUGUGCCCAGAUGGGAUUAGCUUGUUGGUGGGGUAACGGCUCACCAAGGCGACGAUCCCUAGCUGGUCUGAGAGGAUGACCAGCCACACUGGAACUGAGACACGGUCCAGACUCCUACGGGAGGCAGCAUG